AGAGUUUGAUCAUGGCUCAGGACUAACGCUGGUGGUGUGUCUAAGCCAUGCUAGUCGAGCGAAGCACAGAAGUUUUUAUAAACAUCUGUGUUCAGCGGCGGAUAGGUGAGUAACGCGUGAGUAACCUGCCCUUAGGUUUGGUAUAGCCUUGAGAAAUUAAGGAUAAUACCUCAUAUCGCCUUUAGACGUAAAGUCUUCAGGUGAAAGAUGGCCUCUCUUUGAAGCUAUCGCCUCUGGAGGGGCUCGCGUCCCAUUAGUUAGUUGGUGAGGUAAAGGCUCACCAAGACAACGAUAGGUAGCCGGCUUGAGAGGGUGACCGGUCACGCUGGGACUGAGACAAGGCCCAGGCUCCUACGGGAGGCAGCAGGCUAGAAAUUUGUCCAAUGGAUGAAAGUCUGAGACAGCGACACCACUUGGGGGAUCCGAAGGCCUUCGGGUUGUAAACCCCUGUCAAAGAGGACGAUGCUCUGAUAAUUUAAUAAAUUUUUCAGAGUGACGGUACUCUUAAUAGGAAGCCACGGCUAAUUCCGUGCCAGCAGCCGCGGUAAAACGGAAGUGGCAAGCGUUGUCCGGAAUCACUGGGCGUAAAGGGGGCGUAGGCGGAUAACCAAGUUGAAUGUGAAAACCAUUUGCUCAACGAAUGGCUUGCAUUCAAAACUGAUUAUCUUGAGUCUGGCAGAGGAGAAUGGAACUUCUGGUGUAGCGGUGGAAUGCGUAGAUAUCAGAAGGAAUACCGACGGCGAAGGCAGUUCUCUGGGCUAAGACUGACGCUGAGGCCCGAAAGCCAGGGUAGCGAACGGGAUUAGAUACCCCGGUAGUCCUGG
RNAcentral lists this ribosomal RNA (824 nucleotides) under uncultured bacterium. RNAcentral describes it as "bacterial SSU rRNA". It matches the Rfam family "Bacterial small subunit ribosomal RNA", at positions 8 to 799 of the family's 1533-position model. The record is from RNAcentral.